UACAGAGGGGGCAAGCGUUAUUCGGAAUUAUUGGGCGUAAAGGGCGCGUAGGCGGCUUGGCAAGUGGAUGGUGAAAUCCCUCGGCUUAACCGAGGAACUGCCGUCCAAACUGCUUCGCUUGAGACCGGGAGAGGUGAGUGGAAUUCCCAGUGUAGCGGUGAAAUGCGUAGAUAUUGGGAGGAACACCAGUGGCGAAGGCGGCUCACUGGACCGGUACUGACGCUGAUGCGCGAAAGCGUGGGGAGCAAACGAG
Molecule: ribosomal RNA, 253 nt
Filed under: uncultured bacterium
Lineage: Bacteria
Description: partial 16S ribosomal RNA
Rfam family: Bacterial small subunit ribosomal RNA
Source: RNAcentral